AGCAGCCGCGGUAAUUCCAGCUCCAAUAGCGUAUAUUAAAGUUGUUGCAGUUAAAAAGCUCGUAGUUGAAUUUCGGGGUUAGUAGGUUGGUCAUGCCUCUGGUAUGUACUGGUCUCACUGAUUCCUCCUUCCUGAUGAGCCGUAAUGCCAUUAAUUUGGUGUUGCGGGGAAUUUGGACUGUUACUUUGAAAAAAUUAGAGUGUUUAAAGCAAGCUAACGCUUGAAUACAUUAGCAUGGAAUAAUGAAGUAGGACGUUCGAUCCUAUUUUGUUGGUUUCUAGGAUUGACGUAAUGAUUAAUAGGGAUAGUUGGGGGCAUUAGUAUUCAAUUGUCAGAGGUGAAAUUCUUGGAUUUAUUGAAGACUAACUACUGCGAAAGCAUUUGCCAAGGAUGUUUUCAUUAAUCAAGAACGAAAGUUAGGGGAUCGAAGACGAUCAGAUACCGUCGUAGUCUUAACCAUAAACUAUGCCGACUAGGGGUCGGAUGAUGUUAAAUUUUUUUUAAUGUACUCAUUCGGCGC
Molecule: ribosomal RNA, 520 nt
Filed under: uncultured Glomus
Lineage: Eukaryota; Fungi; Glomeromycota; Glomeromycetes; Glomerales; Glomeraceae
Description: SSU rRNA
Rfam family: Eukaryotic small subunit ribosomal RNA
Source: RNAcentral